GGCGCCGGAGGAUGGGUCUGCGGCCUAUCAGGUAGUAGUGGGUCUAAUGUACCUACUAGCCUACGACGGGUACGGGUUGUGAGAGCAAGAGCCCGGAGAUGGAUUCUGAGACACGAAUCCAGGCCCUACGGGGUGCAGCAGGCGCGAAAACUUUACAAUGCCGGCAACGGCGAUAAGGGAACCUCGAGUGCCAGGUUACAAAUCUGGCUGUCGUGAUGCCUAAAAAGCAUUGCAUAGCAAGGGCCGGGCAAGACCGGUGCCAGCCGCCGCGGUAACACCGGCGGCUCGAGUGGUAACCGUUAUUAUUGGGUCUAAAGGGUCUGUAGCCGGCCGGAUAAGUCUCUUGGGAAAUCCAGCAGCUCAACUGUUGGGCUUUCAGGAGAUACUGUCUGGCUCGGGGCCGGGAGAGGUGAGAGGUACUUCAGGGGUAGGGGUGAAAUCUUGUAAUCCUUGAAGGACCACCAGUGGCGAAGGCGUCUCACCAGAACGGACCUGACGGCAAGGGACGAAAGCUAGGGGCACGAACCGGAUUAGAUACCCGGGUAGUCCUAGCCGUAAACGAUACUCGCUAGGUGUCGGCCACGGUGCGACCGUGGUCGGUGCCGUAGGGAAGCCGUGAAGCGAGCCACCUGGGAAGUACGGCCGCAAGGCUGAAACUUAAAGGAAUUGGCGGGGGAGCACUACAACGGGUGGAGCCUGCGGUUUAAUUGGAUUCAACGCCGGAAAUCUUACCGGGACCGACAGCAAUAUGAAGGCCAGGCUGAAGACUUUGCCGGAUUAGCUGAGAGGUGGUGCAUGGCCGUCGUCAGUUCGUACUGUGAAGCAUCCUGUUAAGUCAGGCAACGAGCGAGACCCACGCCCACAGUUGCCAGCGUACUCUCCGGAGUGACGGGUACACUGUGGGGACCGCCGCUGCUAAAGCGGAGGAAGGAAUGGGCAACGGUAGGUCAGUAUGCCCCGAAUAUCCCGGGCUACACGCGGGCUACAAUGGUUGGUACAAUGGGUAUCUACCCCGAAAGGGGAUGGAAAUCUCCUAAAGCCAAUCUUAGUCCGGAUUGAGGGCUGCAACUCGCCCUCAUGAAGCUGGAAUCCGUAGUAAUCGCGUUUCAACAGAACGCGGUGAAUACGUCCCUGCUCCUUGCACACACCGCCCGUCAAACCACCCGAGUAGGGCUUGAAUGAGGGCGCUUCCUCUGGAGGCGUUCGAAUUUGA
This 1213-nucleotide ribosomal RNA is filed under the name metagenome. RNAcentral describes it as "bacterial SSU rRNA". It matches the Rfam family "Archaeal small subunit ribosomal RNA", at positions 198 to 1412 of the family's 1478-position model. The record is from RNAcentral.